This 1553-nucleotide ribosomal RNA is filed under the name Pseudomonadota bacterium. RNAcentral's name for it is "bacterial SSU rRNA". It matches the Rfam family "Bacterial small subunit ribosomal RNA". Lineage: Bacteria; Pseudomonadati; Pseudomonadota. The record is from RNAcentral.
AAACUGGAGAGUUUGAUCCUGGCUCAGAACAAACGCUGGCGGCGUGCCUAACACAUGCAAGUCGUACGAGAAAGGGUCCUUCGGGACCUGAGUAAAGUGGCGCACGGGUGAGUAACGCGUGGAUAAUCUGCCCCUCAGUUUGGAAUAACUCAUCGAAAGGUGGGCUAAUACCGAAUAAUGCUGUGAGACUUUGGUCGAUCAGUCAAAGAGAGCCUCUGCUUGCAAGCCCUCGCUGAAGGAUGAGUCCGCGUACCAUUAGCUUGUUGGUGGGGUAAUGGCCUACCAAGGCGACGAUGGUUAGCUGGUCUGAGAGGAUGAUCAGCCACACUGGAACUGAGACACGGUCCAGACUCCUACGGGAGGCAGCAGUGAGGAAUCUUGCGCAAUGGGGGCAACCCUGACGCAGCAACGCCGCGUGAGUGAGGAAGGUCUUCGGAUCGUAAAGCUCAGUCAGUUGGGAAGAACCACCUGAGGGUUAAUACCCCUUGGGCUUGACGGUACCAACAGAGGAAGCACCGGCUAACUCCGUGCCAGCAGCCGCGGUAAUACGGGGGGUGCAAGCGUUGUUCGGAAUUAUUGGGCGUAAAGAGCGUGUAGGCGGCAUUAUAAGUCAGAUGUGAAAGCCCUUGGCUUAACCAAGGAAGUGCAUGCAAUACUAUUACCCUAGAGUUACCUAGGGGUAGACGGAACAUAUGGAGUAGGAGUGAAAUCCGUUGAUACCAUAUGGAACACCAAAGGCGAAGGCAGUCUACUGGGGGUUAACUGACGCUAAGAGACGAAAGCGUGGGGAGCAAAACGGAUUAGAUACCCGUGUAGUCCACGCUGUAAACAAUGCCUGCUGGAUACCUGUCCCGACUAAAUCGGGAUGGGUGUCGAAGCUAACGCGUUAAGCAGGCCGCCUGGGAAGUACGGUCGCAAGAUUAAAACUCAAAGGAAUUGGCGGGGACCCGCACAAGCGGUGGAGCAUGUGGUUUAAUAGGAUGAUAACCCAAGAACCUCACCCAGGUUUGACAUUCCGAUGCAAUUCCGCCGAAAGGCGGAACUCCUUCGAGGGUUCGGAACAGGUGUCGCAUGGCUGUCGUCAGCUCGAGUCGUGAGAUGUUCGGUUAAGUCCGUUAUCGAGCGCAACCCCUACUACUAGUUGUAUCACUCUAGUGGGACUGCCCGUGUAAACGGGAGGAAGGUGGGGAUGACGUCAAGUCAGCAUGGCCUUUAUGCCUGGGGCUACACACAUGCUACAAUGGCCAGUACAAAGGGUUGCAACCUCGCGAGGGGAAGCUAAUCUCAUCAAAGCUGGUCUCAGUUCGGAUUGAAGGCUGCAACUCGCCUUCAUGAAGUAGGAAUCGCUAGUAAUCGCCGGUCAGCUAUACGGCGGUGAAUACGUUCUCGGGUCUUGCACACACCGCCCGUCAAGUCAGCAAAGUUAGAACCAUCUAAAGACCCGAAUUUAGCAACGCAAGUUGCUUAUUGAAAGGUCUAAGUUGGGGCUAGUGAUGAGGAUUAAGUCGUAACAAGGUAGCGCUAGGGGAAUCUGGCGCUGGAUCACCUCCUUU